Molecule: small nuclear RNA, 316 nt
Filed under: Pongo abelii (Sumatran orangutan)
Lineage: Eukaryota; Metazoa; Chordata; Mammalia; Primates; Hominidae
Rfam family: 7SK RNA
About the family: 7SK was discovered as an abundant small nuclear RNA in the mid-70s but a possible function has only recently been suggested. Two independent studies have found that 7SK RNA binds the CDK9/cyclin T complex (known as elongation factor P-TEFb).
Source: RNAcentral
GCAUUUCAAAGGAAUAACAGGAGGUGAGGUCGCCCCACUGAUUGCCAGGGUUGACUUGGCUGAUCUGGCUGGCUAGGCGGGUGUCCCCUUCCUCCCUCACCACUCCAGGUGCGUCCCUCCCGAAGCUGCACACUUGGUCGAAGAGGACGACCAUCCCUGAUAGAGGAGGACUGGUCUUCGGUCAAGGGUGUACAAGUAGCUGCGCUCCCCUGCUAGAACCUCCAAACACGCGCUCAAGGUCCAUUUAAAGGAAUAACAAUGACAUCGAUUCUCCCUUCUAUUUCAUCUGUCCUUUUCCAGCAAGAAGAAAAGAGAC